RNAcentral lists this ribosomal RNA (735 nucleotides) under uncultured Cyanobium sp. RNAcentral's name for it is "bacterial SSU rRNA". It matches the Rfam family "Bacterial small subunit ribosomal RNA", at positions 781 to 1515 of the family's 1533-position model. Lineage: Bacteria; Bacillati; Cyanobacteriota; Cyanophyceae; Synechococcales; Prochlorococcaceae. The record is from RNAcentral.
GAUACCCCUGUAGUCCUGGCCGUAAACGAUGAACACUAGGUGUCGGGGGAAUCGACCCCCUCGGUGUCGUAGCCAACGCGUUAAGUGUUCCGCCUGGGGAGUACGCACGCAAGUGUGAAACUCAAAGGAAUUGACGGGGGCCCGCACAAGCGGUGGAGUAUGUGGUUUAAUUCGAUGCAACGCGAAGAACCUUACCAGGGUUUGACAUCCUGCGAAUCCCUUGGAAGCGAGGGAGUGCCUUCGGGAACGCAGUGACAGGUGGUGCAUGGCUAUCGUCAGCUCGUGUCGUGAGAUGUUGGGUUAAGUCCCGCAACGAGCGCAACCCACGUCUUUAGUUGCCAGCAUUUAGUUGGGCACUCUAGAGAGACUGCCGGUGAUAAACCGGAGGAAGGUGUGGAUGACGUCAAGUCAUCAUGCCCCUUACAUCCUGGGCUACACACGUACUACAAUGCUACGGACAAAGGGCAGCAAACUCGCGAGAGCUAGCCAAUCCCAUAAACCGUGGCUCAGUUCAGAUCGUAGGCUGCAACUCGCCUACGUGAAGGAGGAAUCGCUAGUAAUCGCAGGUCAGCAUACUGCGGUGAAUACGUUCCCGGGCCUUGUACACACCGCCCGUCACACCAUGGAAGUUGGCCACGCCCGAAGUCGUUACUCCAACCCUUGUGGAGGAGGAUGCCGAAGGUGGGGCUGAUGACUGGGGUGAAGUCGUAACAAGGUAGCCGUACCGGAAGGUGC